This 406-nucleotide ribosomal RNA is filed under the name uncultured bacterium. RNAcentral describes it as "partial 16S ribosomal RNA". It matches the Rfam family "Bacterial small subunit ribosomal RNA", at positions 30 to 526 of the family's 1533-position model. The record is from RNAcentral.
AUUGAACGCUGGCGGCAGACCUAACACAUGCAAGUCGAACGAGUGGCGGACGUGUGAGUAAUGUCUGUGCAACUGCCUGCUGGAGGGGGAUAACUACUGGAAACGGUAACUACUACCGCAUUCCAUCGGAUGUGCCCAUAUGGGAUUAGCUAGUGGGUGGGGUAAAGGCUCACCUAGGCGACGAUCCCUAGCUGGUUUGAGAGGAUGACCAGCCACACUGGAACUGAGACACGGUCCAGACUCCUACGGGAGGCAGCAGUGGGGAAUUUUGCACAAUGGGCGCAAGCCUGAUGCAGCCAUGCCGCGUGUGUGAAGAAGGCCUUCGGGUUGUAAAGCACUUUCAGCGAGGAGGCGUUACUCGCAGAAGAAGCACCGGCUAACUCCGUGCCAGCAGCCGCGGUAAUAC